RNAcentral lists this ribosomal RNA (306 nucleotides) under uncultured eukaryote. RNAcentral's name for it is "partial 18S ribosomal RNA". It matches the Rfam family "Eukaryotic small subunit ribosomal RNA", at positions 1470 to 1796 of the family's 1831-position model. The record is from RNAcentral.
CCCUAAGACAUUCUGAGCCGCACGCGCGCUACACUGACGAAGUCAACGAGUUUUCCUUUACCUAAAUGUACGGGUAAACUUUGAAACGUCGUCGUGCUGCGAAUAGAUCCUUGCAAUUUUCGAUCUUAAACGAGGAAUACCUAGUAAGCGCAAGUCAUCAACUUGCGUUGAUUACGUCCCUGCCCUUUGUACACACCGCCAAUCGCUACUACCGAUUGAAUGGUUUGGCGAGGCCUUCAGAUCCGCGACUCGUUUGUGGAGAAGUUGGACAAACUCAGUCAUUUAGAGGAAGUUAAAGUCGUAACA